UUACUUUUUCUCGGUUCAGGCAUUUUUUUUAUUUUUUUUUUUUUAGCGGGAACCUCGAUUCCUCUCUGACACUGAACCCCAACAUCUUACCGGAUCGCACUCUGAACGUGCACUUAUCUGAAUUCAACCUCGGUUUGAAUUGUCUCCACCAGAUGCCCCACUCCUGUUUGGGACUUUGCUAUCAUGUCAUAGCAUAGCAUUCAACUUCAUGAUGAAUCAUAUCAUGAAACAAAGUCACCAUGGCUCUCUGAUACAGGCACUGGCGUUCUGUUCCUCUAGAGGACAGUCUUCUCUCCAUGGCAGCGUGUGCACAACGACAUUGGUACUUGACCUGGCAUAUCCUGACAUGACCAGGUAAAAGUAUCCACAUGCUCUUUCAACAAGGCUACCAUUCUACUCUCGAUUCGCCUCUGAAGCGGCCUCAUUUUCCUAUUUCCUUCCUGACCUCGGCGGUGCUUGGUACAACAAUCUCAACCCGCUUCACGUGCGGCUGAAUCACCUUCUCCUCUUGUUUAAACAACCUGGC
RNAcentral lists this long non-coding RNA (526 nucleotides) under Lathyrus oleraceus (garden pea). RNAcentral's name for it is "Pisum sativum (pea) long non-coding RNA (PSAT_LNC040858)". Lineage: Eukaryota; Viridiplantae; Streptophyta; Magnoliopsida; Fabales; Fabaceae. The record is from RNAcentral.